CCCUUAGAGUUUGAUCAUGGCUCAGGACGAACGCUGGCGGCGGGCUUAACACAUGCAAGUCGAAGGAGAAGGUAGGAGCUUGCUUUUACUGGAGACUGGCGGACGGGUGAGUAACGCGUAGAUAACCUGCCUAUAGCUGGGGGAUAACACUGCGAAAGUGGUGCUAAUACCGCAUAAUGCAGCGGGGCCGCAUGGCCAUAGUUGUUAAAGGUUUCGACCGGCUAUAGAUGGGUCUGCGUGCUAUUAGUUAGUUGGUAGGGUAACGGCCUACCAAGGCGAUGAUAGCUAGGGGGUCUGAGAGGAUGAUCCCCCACACUGGGACUGAGACACGGCCCAGACUCCUACGGGAGGCAGCAGUGAGGAAUCUUGCGCAAUGGGCGAAAGCCUGACGCAGCCACGCCGCGUGCCGGAUGAAGGCCCUAUGGGUUGUAAACGGCUUUUACUAGGGAAGAACGAGAGGGUUUCGAUCUUCUGUGACGGUACCUAGUGAAUAAGCACCGGCUAACUCCGUGCCAGCAGCCGCGGUAAUACGGAGGGUGCAAGCGUUGUCCGGAAUCAUUGGGUGUAAAGGGUACGUAGGCGGGAGCCUAAGUCUGGGGUGAAAUCUUGCCGCUUAACGGUAAAAUGGCCCUGGAUACUGGGUUUCUUGAGUGCAGAAGAGGCAGGUGGAAUUCGUGGUGUAGCGGUGAAAUGCUUAGAUAUCACGAAGAACAUCAGUG
RNAcentral lists this ribosomal RNA (719 nucleotides) under uncultured bacterium. RNAcentral describes it as "bacterial SSU rRNA". It matches the Rfam family "Bacterial small subunit ribosomal RNA", at positions 1 to 714 of the family's 1533-position model. The record is from RNAcentral.